RNAcentral lists this transfer RNA (76 nucleotides) under Rhodobacter sp. RNAcentral's name for it is "tRNA-Thr". It matches the Rfam family "tRNA". Rfam says of the family: Transfer RNA (tRNA) molecules are approximately 80 nucleotides in length. Their secondary structure includes four short double-helical elements and three loops (D, anti-codon, and T loops). RNAcentral also lists the same sequence under 50 other names. The record is from RNAcentral. Lineage: Bacteria; Pseudomonadati; Pseudomonadota; Alphaproteobacteria; Rhodobacterales.
GCCCCUAUAGCUCAGCUGGUAGAGCAUCUGAUUUGUAAUCAGAGGGUCGGGAGUUCGAGUCUCUCUGGGGGCACCA